RNAcentral lists this transfer-messenger RNA (353 nucleotides) under Minisyncoccota bacterium. It matches the Rfam family "transfer-messenger RNA". From Rfam's summary of the family: Bacterial tmRNA, also known as 10Sa RNA or SsrA, is named for its dual tRNA and mRNA-like properties. Its role is to liberate the mRNA from a stalled ribosome. Lineage: Bacteria; Bacillati; Minisyncoccota. The record is from RNAcentral. RNAcentral also lists the same sequence under 1 other name.
GGGGAUGAUCGGUUUCGACACUGCUUCAUGCCCACACGAUGCCAUAUGCGGUCGGCCAGUAACCGCACUAAACACUGGUCAAACAUAUAACUGGCUAUUCAACCGCCAAUUACGCGUUCGCCUAAGGGCGUCGCGCAUCGCACCCUGACGCUUGCUACGGGAUUCUGCGGUGUCAUCUAGCUCGCUCUGGUUAGUCACCUUCAUGUCGUGACUCUCCGAACCUAAGAUCAUGAUAGUCUGCGCUUAUCUUGCCGGUUCCCUACGCGCAGGCGAACAACCGAAUCGGAUACAUUGGUAGUACGUCGUGUCGGUCAUCGUAGUGGACUGGGGUUCGAUUCCCCACAUCUCCACAG